GAUGAACGCUGGCGGCGUGCCUAAUACAUGCAAGUCGAGCGAACGGACGAGAAGCUUGCUUUUCUGAUGUUAGCGGCGGACGGGUGAGUAACACGUGGAUAACCUACCUAUAAGACUGGGAUAACUUCGGGAAACCGGAGCUAAUACCGGAUAAUAUUUUGAACCGCAUGGUUCAAAAGUGAAAGACGGUCUUGCUGUCACUUAUAGAUGGAUCCGCGCUGCAUUAGCUAGUUGGUAAGGUAACGGCUUACCAAGGCAACGAUGCAUAGCCGACCUGAGAGGGGGGUCGGCCACACUGGAACCGAGACACGGUCCAGAACUCCACGGGAGGCAGGCGUAGGGAAUUUUCCCAAAUGGGCGAAAGGCCUAGGGAGCAACCCCCGGUGGGUUAAUAAGGUUUUUGGAUCGGAAAAACCUUUUUUUAGGGAAAAACAUAUUGUUAAAUAACUGGUCACCUCUUGACGGUACCCAAUCAAGAGGCCACGGGUAACUACG
RNAcentral lists this ribosomal RNA (495 nucleotides) under uncultured bacterium. RNAcentral's name for it is "partial 16S ribosomal RNA". It matches the Rfam family "Bacterial small subunit ribosomal RNA", at positions 28 to 505 of the family's 1533-position model. The record is from RNAcentral.